RNAcentral lists this long non-coding RNA (724 nucleotides) under Arabidopsis lyrata. Its description in RNAcentral is "long non-coding RNA (ALYR_LNC001898)". Lineage: Eukaryota; Viridiplantae; Streptophyta; Magnoliopsida; Brassicales; Brassicaceae. The record is from RNAcentral.
AAGAAUGAAAAUAUGUAAGUGUAUUUAUAGAAGGUUUGAGAUAGAGUGAGCUCUGAAGUGGAUGCCACUAAGUUCAAUAACGUUGGACGACACAACUAGCUUCGAGCAUUUUCUUAUAUUAUUAUUGAUUUGUACACUCAGAGUGUUGGAAUUGUGAAUCCUUGAUUAAAUCCUGCAAGAAGAAAAGCUUCAAGUGAGAAGAGAUGAUGAGCAUAACAGAAGAAGCAAAGCGUAGAAGGAAGAUGAAGUUGUCGGAGAGAAGCGUCGGAAGAAGUCAACGACAACAAGACAGAAGCAAAGUCAACAUAAGGAGAUGUUGGGCUUUGUGGUUUUGUAAUAAUGGUACCAUUGGGCUAAAGGAUUAAAUUAGGCCCAAUGAGGAAAUGUGUUAUGUUAGUCUAAGUAGAGUUGCUAGUAGUAGAGUUGUUAAGAGUCCCAAUGAGUAGUGUGGCUACACACAAGUAGUGAGGCUUGUGUAAGAACCUAGAACCUAGAACCUAGAAGUAUGGUGUAUUGUAAGAGUCAUAAUUAGGUCUAAGUGCAAGUGUGCAAGUGUGAUGCAAGUGGAGAAACUAGUAUAUGUAUGUGUGUGUUGUGUUGUAAGAAUGUAUCCAAUCAAUUAUCAAUGUAGAAGAUUAUAGUAAAAUGGUUUUUGUUCUUUCUCUCUAAAGACAAUGAAACCGUAAAUGAGUGUGAAAGAUAGAGAGAUUGUGAGAAUUUCAAC